UGCCUGGGUGGCGGAACUGGUAGACGCACAGGACUUAAAAUCCUGCGGGUGGUGACACCCGNGGGCUCAUAACCCGAAGGUCGCAGGUUCAAGUCCUGUCCCCGCAACCA
This 110-nucleotide transfer RNA is filed under the name Turicibacter sanguinis. Its description in RNAcentral is "tRNA-Leu". It matches the Rfam family "tRNA". From Rfam's summary of the family: Transfer RNA (tRNA) molecules are approximately 80 nucleotides in length. Lineage: Bacteria; Bacillati; Bacillota; Erysipelotrichia; Erysipelotrichales; Turicibacteraceae. The record is from RNAcentral.